CCUUAGAGUUUGAUCCUGGCUCAGGACGAACGCUGGCGGCGCGCCUAACACAUGCAAGUCGAACGGAGCUUAGAGAGCUUGCUUUUUAAGCUUAGUGGCGAACGGGUGAGUAACGCGUGAGUAACCUGCCCUAGAGUGGGGGACAACAGUUGGAAACGACUGCUAAUACCGCAUAAGCCCACGGUACCGCAUGGUACUGAGGGAAAAGGAUUUAUUCGCUUUAGGAUGGACUCGCGUCCAAUUAGCUAGUUGGUGAGGUAACGGCCCACCAAGGCGACGAUUGGUAGCCGGACUGAGAGGUUGAACGGCCACAUUGGGACUGAGACACGGCCCAGACUCCUACGGGAGGCAGCAGUGGGGGAUAUUGCACAAUGGGGGAAACCCUGAUGCAGCGACGCCGCGUGGAGGAAGAAGGUUUUCGGAUUGUAAACUCCUGUCGUUAGGGACGAUAAUGACGGUACCUAACAAGAAAGCACCGGCUAACUACGUGCCAGCAGCCGCGGUAAAACGUAGGGUGCAAGCGUUGUCCGGAAUUACUGGGUGUAAAGGGAGCGCAGGCGGGAAGACAAGUUGGAAGUGAAAACCAUGGGCUCAACCCAUGAAUUGCUUUCAAAACUGUUUUUCUUGAGUAGUGCAGAGGUAGAUGGAAUUCCCGGUGUAGCGGUGGAAUGCGUAGAUAUCGGGAGGAACACCAGUGGCGAAGGCGGUCUACUGGGCACCAACUGACGCUGAGGCUCGAAAGCAUGGGUAGCAAACAGGAUUAGAUACCCUGGUAGUCCAUGCCGUAAACGAUGAUUACUAGGUGUUGGGGGGAAUUGACCCCCUCAGUGCCGCAGUUAACACAAUAAGUAAUCCACCUGGGGAGUACGACCGCAAGGUUGAAACUCAAAGGAAUUGACGGGGGCCCGCACAAGCAGUGGAGUAUGUGGUUUAAUUCGAAGCAACGCGAAGAACCUUACCAGGUCUUGACAUCCGAUGCAUAGCACAGAGAUGUGUGAAAUCCUUCGGGACAUCGAGACAGGUGGUGCAUGGUUGUCGUCAGCUCGUGUCGUGAGAUGUUGGGUUAAGUCCCGCAACGAGCGCAACCCUUAUUGCCAGUUACUACGUCAAGAGGACUCUGGCGAGACUGCCGUUGACAAAACGGAGGAAGGUGGGGAUGACGUCAAAUCAUCAUGCCCUUUAUGACCUGGGCUACACACGUACUACAAUGGCGUUAAACAAAGAGAAGCAAGACCGCGAGGUGGAGCAAAACUCAAAAACAACGUCUCAGUUCAGAUUGCAGGCUGCAACUCGCCUGCAUGAAGUCGGAAUUGCUAGUAAUCGCGGAUCAGCAUGCCGCGGUGAACACGUUCCCGGGCCUUGCACUCACCGCCCGUCA
RNAcentral lists this ribosomal RNA (1378 nucleotides) under uncultured bacterium. RNAcentral describes it as "bacterial SSU rRNA". It matches the Rfam family "Bacterial small subunit ribosomal RNA". The record is from RNAcentral.